This 465-nucleotide ribosomal RNA is filed under the name uncultured bacterium. RNAcentral describes it as "bacterial SSU rRNA". It matches the Rfam family "Bacterial small subunit ribosomal RNA", at positions 29 to 526 of the family's 1533-position model. The record is from RNAcentral.
AACGAACGUUGGCGGCGUGGAUUAGGCAUGCAAGUCGAGGGAAUUCCCGCAAGGGAGGAACCGGCGUAAGGGGCAGUAAGGCAUGGGUACCUACCCUAGGGUUCGGGAUAGCCAUCAGAGAUGGUGGGUAAUACCGGAUGAUGUCGUGAGACCAAAGAUUCAUCGCCCUGGGAGGGGCCCAUGUGAUAUUAGCUUGUUGGUGAGGUAACGGCUCACCAAGGCGAAGAUGUCUAGCGGGUGUGAGAGCACGACCCGCGCCACUCGCACUGAGACACUGGCGAGACACCUACGGGUGGCUGCAGUCGAGGAUCUUCGGCAAUGAGCGCAAGCUUGACCGAGCGACGCCGCGUGCGCGAUGAAGGCCUCCGGGUUGUAAAGCGCUUUAGGGGGGGAGAAAAGCCGAAAGGUGUGAUCUAUCCCCAAAAUAAGCACGGGCUAAGUUCGUGCCAGCAGCCGCAGUAAUAC